CGCGGUUAUACCAAGUGAUUAAGUUAUAUCUUUAGGUAAAAAUACAGUUAGGUUUAAAAUAAAAUGUUUAUUGACCAUUUAUAAAAAAGUAAAAUUUGUAUAUAGAUAGUUAAUCCAGCAAUGACUAAUUUAUUACUGAAGCUGUGAUAGUCUUGAGGGAAACUGGGAUUAGAUACCCCAUUAUUCUUGACUGUAAAUUUAAUUAAAUUUACCAGAGUACUAUGAAUAGUUAAAAAUUUAAAACUCAAAGGGCUUGGCGGUGUUUUAGACCUAUCAGGGGAACCUGUCUCGUAAUCGACAAUCCACGUUACACCCAACCUUAUUUUGUAUUCAGUUUGUAUACCGUCGUCGUCAGGUAACUUUUAAAAAUAUAGAAGUUAGCGAUAUAAAUAUUAUAAAUUAAGACGUCAGAUCAAGGUGCAGCCUAUAGUAAGGGGAGGAUGGGUUACAAUUAUUAAACUUAUAAUUAUGAAAAUUUAAGUGAAACUUUAUUUAGAAGGAGGACUUGAAAGUAAAUUAAAAUAUAUAAAUAUAUUGAAUGAGGCUCUG
RNAcentral lists this ribosomal RNA (549 nucleotides) under Naytia priscardi. RNAcentral describes it as "partial 12S ribosomal RNA". Lineage: Eukaryota; Metazoa; Mollusca; Gastropoda; Neogastropoda; Nassariidae. The record is from RNAcentral.